AUGUUUGUAGGUGGCCUUUUAAAUUCGCCAUCAGAUUUCAGGGCUCAAUACUGGCCGGAUAGACGAUGGAAACUACCAAGCUAUAGGAUGGCAGGAGCCAAGGGAAUUUACAGUGGAGCGGUGAAAUGCGUAGAGAUUGAAAAGAACACCACCGAUUAUAUAUUUUGCUUGACUCACACUGACACUGAAAAACAAAAGUUAUGAGAGCGAAUGAGAUUAGAAUCCUUAGUAGUUAUAGCUGUAAAUGAUGAAUACCGGGAUCCCACUCGCCGGAUUUCU
Non-coding RNA from Populus trichocarpa (black cottonwood), 279 nucleotides. The record is from Rfam. NCBI's taxonomy places the organism in Eukaryota, Viridiplantae, Streptophyta, Magnoliopsida, Malpighiales, Salicaceae.